CCUACGGGAGGCAGCAGUGGGGAAUAUUGCACAAUGGGGGAAACCCUGAUGCAGCGACGCCGCGUGAGUGAAGAAGUAAUUCGUUAUGUAAAGCUCUAUCAGCAGGGAAGAAAAUGACGGUACCUGAGUCAGAAGCCCCGGCUAACUUCGUGCCAGCAGCCGCGGUAAUACGUAGGGGGCAAGAGUUAUCCGGAUUUACGGGGUGUAAAGGGAGCGUAGACGGCAGUGCAAGUCUGGAGUGAAAGGCGGGGGCUCAACCCCCGGACUGCUCUGGAAACUGUACGGCUGGAGUGCAGGAGAGGUAAGUGGAAUUCCUAGUGUAGCGGUGAAAUGUGUAGAUAUUAGGAGGAACACCAGUGGCGAAGGCGGCUUACUGAACUGUAACUGACGUUGAGGCUCGAAAGCGUGGGGAGCAAACAGGAUUAGAUACCCCAGUAGUC
This 440-nucleotide ribosomal RNA is filed under the name uncultured bacterium. Its description in RNAcentral is "partial 16S ribosomal RNA". It matches the Rfam family "Bacterial small subunit ribosomal RNA", at positions 338 to 795 of the family's 1533-position model. The record is from RNAcentral.